Molecule: ribosomal RNA, 467 nt
Filed under: uncultured bacterium
Lineage: Bacteria
Description: bacterial SSU rRNA
Rfam family: Bacterial small subunit ribosomal RNA
Source: RNAcentral
ACUCCUACGGGAGGCAGCAGUGGGGAAUAUUGCACAAUGGGCGCAAGCCUGAUGCAGCCAUGCCGCGUGUAUGAAGAAGGCCUUCGGGUUGUAAAGUACUUUCAGCAGUGAGGAAGGUGGAUAUGUUAAUAGCAUAUUCAUUUGACGUUAGCUGCAGAAGAAGCACCGGCUAACUCCGUGCCAGCAGCCGCGGUAAUACGGAGGGUGCGAGCGUUAAUCGGAAUUACUGGGCGUAAAGCGCAUGCAGGUGGUUUGUUAAGUCAGAUGUGAAAGCCCGGGGCUCAACCUCGGAAUUGCAUUUGAAACUGGCAAACUAGAGUACUGUAGAGGGGGGUAGAAUUUCAGGUGUAGCGGUGAAAUGCGUAGAGAUCUGAAGGAUACCGGUGGCGAAGGCGGCCCCUGGACAGAUACUGACACUCAGAUGCGAAAGCGUGGGGAGCAAACAGGAUUAGAUACCCUGGUAGGCU